GGCGAUGUGAACUCAUAGUUGGCUAGUGAGAGGAGGACUAUAAUCCCUUUUGGUCGUAGGUUCAAGUCCUAUCACGUCCCACCA
This 84-nucleotide transfer RNA is filed under the name Aalborgiella aggregata (SeqCode). RNAcentral describes it as "Candidatus Aalborgiella aggregata tRNA-Tyr". Lineage: Bacteria; Pseudomonadati; Pseudomonadota; Betaproteobacteria; Burkholderiales; Comamonadaceae. The record is from RNAcentral.